This is a long non-coding RNA of Zingiber officinale, 807 nucleotides long. RefSeq lists it as uncharacterized. Lineage: Eukaryota; Viridiplantae; Streptophyta; Magnoliopsida; Zingiberales; Zingiberaceae. The transcript has 5 exons. The record is from RefSeq and is a predicted model, not a curated record.
GACAAUGCGUUGUCACUUGUUUUCCAAAAUCAGUUUAACUCCAUUAAUGGAUAUGUUAUCUUAUUUGAGAAAGUAUGACUAUUUAUAAUAUUUAGAACUUGCUUUCCAAAAUCAGCUUUACUCUAUUCCGAUAUCUCCAUAUCUCAACUUGCAUGUUUGAUUGUUUUGGAGAUUUUUCGUCUUAAUGAGUGAUUCACCUUUGUUUAGAACCCUCCCAAGCUGGCUACUCCUCUAUUUGAUACUAAAAUGCCAGAGGACCCUAAGAUGGCAUACACAGACCUAGAUAAUCUUCAAAUGGUGUUUUGAACGAAGAGUGUUUGGUCUUGCAUUGUGAUGGCGUCUGAGUGUUGGCUUGGUCUCUGUUGGCUUGCUACAUAUCUAGAAAGCUCCAUGAUUUGUGCUAAGCUCAAAAUAUCAGUAGAUUUGUUGUGGUAGUGCCUUAACAGGAUUUGAGGCUUCUCCAUUCAGGAAAAGACAAGUCUGGUAGAUACAAAAAUUACAAGAUCACAAGUUUGGAUUGAAGGUCACAAGAAAAAAAAAAUGGGAAGCCUAGUACUCAAGCUGUUGGAGAGAAAAUAGUGGACCUAAUUCGACCAAAUGAUGAAAUGCAGUUUCUCGAUGAUGCAAUAGAAAGCACGGUUGCAUGGUUAUCUAUAUUUAUAGUAUUGUGUGAUUGAUAUAUAUUAUACUAAUUUGUUUGGAUUGUAAGUUGAAUUAUCGUUAUGUAAUUACUAGUUUGUUAGAUAUUUCAUAUAUUGUUUUAGAUGUUUUGAGUUUUUGUGGUAUAAUGAAAAACUAUGACUUUUA